RNAcentral lists this unclassified non-coding RNA (344 nucleotides) under soil metagenome. RNAcentral describes it as "partial contains 5.8S ribosomal RNA, internal transcribed spacer 2, and large subunit ribosomal RNA". The stretch from base 1 to 119 matches the Rfam family "5.8S ribosomal RNA", at positions 35 to 154 of the family's 154-position model. The record is from RNAcentral.
GAUGAAGAAGUAGCGAAAUGCGAUACGUAAUGUGAAUUGCAGAAUUCAGUGAAUCAUCGAGUCUUUGAACGCACAUUGCGCCCCCUGGUAUUCCGGGGGGCAUGCCUGCCCGAGCGUCAUUGCUGCCCUCAAGCACGGCUUGUGUGUUGGGCCUCCGUCCUCCUCCCGGGGGACGGGCCCGAAAGGCAGCGGCGGCACCGCGUCCGGUCCUCGAGCGUAUGGGGCUUCGUCACCCGCUCUUGUAGGCCCGGCCGGCGCUUGCCGACACAUCAAUCUUUUUUCCAGGUUGACCUCGGAUCAGGUAGGGAUACCCGCUGAACUUAAGCAUAUCAAUAAGCGGAGGA